AUGGUCUCCAAUCCGGCCACGAAUGAGUACACUGUGCUGCCUGACUCUGGCUCCGCCGGCAACAUCUGCCUUGCUUACCUGGGUUUCGACAGUGAUGUUUCCACUCAAGAGUUUCAUGUGUUCGAGUUUGUACUGGUCCUCCGUGAGCCAUCCCUGGUUGUGAGGGGAGUGAAUAUUUACUCUUCAAAAACUGUUGCAUGGGUAGCAAUGGAACCCAAAUGGGACAUCCAAGUUACGUUGUGCUGGCGUAAACCAGGAGUUUUCCGUAAGGGGUUUCUGCACUUGCUGAUAGGUCAGUUUGGGUUGGCAAUACUUGAUGCAGAAGGGCUAACAUGGAGAAUUAUCCCGCUUCCAGUUGUAGAAAGUGUUAAUCCGUGUUUCUCCGGAUUCAUUGGAAAGUCUGCCGGACAGCUAAUUUAUAUCGACCGCGGUGCUAUUGAAGGACACGGCUCUAAUGCAUUGUUGACUAUAUCAGUUUACGUUCUUGGUGCUGAGAUAUGUCAGUGGGAUGUGACUCACCUGGAUGACAAGUGCAUGCGUUGGAAACUCUUGCACAAGCUUUCAAAUGUACUCCGAAGAAGAUGUUUCGGCUCUGUUUCAACCUCGAAGUCAUUGCAGUACACCCACAUGCCAAUAUAA
RNAcentral lists this ribosomal RNA (639 nucleotides) under Triticum aestivum (bread wheat). RNAcentral's name for it is "partial small subunit ribosomal RNA". The record is from RNAcentral. Lineage: Eukaryota; Viridiplantae; Streptophyta; Magnoliopsida; Poales; Poaceae.